AUGCUGAGCCCACAGCUGCGCAGCUCGCGGGCCCAGGGAGUCCUGGGGAGCACCGACCCGCACGCCUCCACCGCAUUUCCAGCGGCCCCUCUCCUGCGCUGCAGCGCGUCUCCAACCAACCACGAGGUCCCUCCGCGCUCUGCAGGGCGGCUCGGGCGGGGCUCGGCUGGGGGCUCGGCUGGGGGCUCGGGCGGGGCGCGGACACCCGAACCGUCCCGUGCCCGCCUGCCCCGACCCUCCCGCGUCCACCCCCACCUCGUCCUCCACCUGCCGCAGGACCGUCGCUGCUACCGGGUGUCCGAGGCCGCGAGCGCGCCCGACCACACACGCCCGUCGCAGCGCCUCCCCCGGGCCGCGGGCCACCCGGCAGCAGCCCCCCUGCGCGCCUCCCCUGAGCGCCCUCAGGCCCGCCCGCAGCCCGCCCCGCCCCGCCCCCCGUGGCCCUCGCGCCCCGCGCUCCCCCAGCCCCGACCCGGCCCCGGCCCGCCCUCGCCCCGGCGCGCAGAAGGGGCCCGGCGGGGGCCACGCCGUCCACCACCUACCAUCCUCCCCGGCGCUUUCCCGGCUUCUCGCCGGCUCCGCGUCCGCGCAGGCGCCCCAGCCCGCAGCCCGCCCCGCCCCGCCCCCCGCGGCGGCGCCCGGACACCCACUCAGAGCGAGGGGGCGGGACGCUCAGGUCAGGCUCGGCCUCCCAGCUCCCGACGUGCACCGCGCCCCCGGGGCCGCCGGGACCCAGGCCCGCCGCCUCCUACAGCUCCCGACGUGCACCGCGCCCCCGGGGCCGCCGGGACCCAGGCCCGCCGCCUCCUACAAUUCCCGACGUGCACCGCGCCCCCGGGGCUGCCGGGACCCAGGCCCGCCGCCUCCUACAAUUCCCGACGUGCACCGCGCCCCCGGGGCCGCCGGCACCCAGGCCCGCCGCCUCCUACAGCUCCCGACGUGCACCGCGCCGCCCGGGGCCGCCGGGACCCAGACCCGCGCCUCCUACAGCUCCCGACGUGCACCGCGCCGCCCGGGGCCGCCAGCACCCAGGCCCGGCCCCUGAGGGGACGCCGCUCCCUCGGGGCGCGUCCGCGCAGACCGCGUUCGGGAGAGGGCGACCGAGGGCCGCGGCCGGGGCCCUCUCCACGCCCGAGCGCGUCCCCGUCCCCGCCCCCGUCCCCGCCCCGGGGCGGGCCUGUCGGUGCUAGAGGGAUGCGAGUGAGGCGCGACCCGGCCGGCCGCUCGGCUCCCGGCGCCGCAGACCCGGACCGAGCGCGCACGUCCGCCGGCCGCGUGCAGGUGAGCGCUGCUGGGGUCGGCGCGGGGCGGGCGUCCCGGGCGUCCAGGCUCCACCCCGCGGCGCGCGCAGGCCCGCCCCCGCCCCCCUGCCGGUGCCUGCUGCGGGGCUGCGCGGCGCGAGGGGCGGUGUGA
This 1413-nucleotide long non-coding RNA is filed under the name Canis lupus familiaris (dog). RNAcentral describes it as "lncRNA (ENSCAFG00040010685.1)". The record is from RNAcentral. Lineage: Eukaryota; Metazoa; Chordata; Mammalia; Carnivora; Canidae.